GGCGGCGUAGCCAAGUGGUUAAGGCAGGGGUCUGCAAAACCCCCAUUCGCCGGUUCGAAUCCGGCCGCCGCCU
This 73-nucleotide transfer RNA is filed under the name Chloroflexota bacterium. Its description in RNAcentral is "Chloroflexi bacterium tRNA-Cys". It matches the Rfam family "tRNA". Rfam says of the family: Transfer RNA (tRNA) molecules are approximately 80 nucleotides in length. Lineage: Bacteria; Bacillati; Chloroflexota. The record is from RNAcentral. RNAcentral also lists the same sequence under 2 other names.